UAGGAGGGGGACAACAGUUGGAAACGACUGCUAAUACCCCAUAUGCCGAGAGGUGAAACAUUAAUGGCCUGAGGAGGAGCUCGCGUCUGAUUAGCUAGUUGGUGGGGUAAAGGCCUACCAAGGCGACGAUCAGUAGCUGGUCUGAGAGGAUGAUCAGCCACACUGGGACUGAGACACGGCCCAGACUCCUACGGGAGGCAGCAGUGGGGAAUUUUCCGCAAUGGGCGAAAGCCUGACGGAGCAAGACCGCGUGAGGGAGGAAGGUCUGUGGAUUGUAAACCUCUUUUCUCAGGGAAGAAGAACUGACGGUACCUGAGGAAUCAGCAUCGGCUAACUCCGUGCCAGCAGCCGCGGUAAUACGGAGGAUGCAAGCGUUAUCCGGAAUUAUUGGGCGUAAAGCGUCCGUAGGUGGCUAAGCAAGUCUGCUGUUAAAGAGCGGAGCUAAACUCCGUAAAGGCGGUGGAAACUGCAUAGCUAGAGUGUGGUAGGGGUAGAGGGAAUUCCCAGUGUAGCGGUGAAAUGCGUAGAUAUUGGGAAGAACACCGGUGGCGAAGGCGCUCUACUGGGCCACAACUGACACUGAUGGACGAAAGCUAGGGGAGCGAAUGGG
This 610-nucleotide ribosomal RNA is filed under the name Halomicronema sp. GSP210-1. RNAcentral's name for it is "bacterial SSU rRNA". It matches the Rfam family "Bacterial small subunit ribosomal RNA", at positions 133 to 776 of the family's 1533-position model. The record is from RNAcentral. Lineage: Bacteria; Bacillati; Cyanobacteriota; Cyanophyceae; Nodosilineales; Nodosilineaceae.